This 777-nucleotide ribosomal RNA is filed under the name uncultured Neocallimastigales. RNAcentral's name for it is "partial large subunit ribosomal RNA". It matches the Rfam family "Eukaryotic large subunit ribosomal RNA", at positions 24 to 635 of the family's 3401-position model. Lineage: Eukaryota; Fungi; Neocallimastigomycota; Neocallimastigomycetes; Neocallimastigales. The record is from RNAcentral.
UAUGUGAUCGUCUCUCGCAUAUCAAUAAGCGGAGGAAAAGAAACUAACAAGGAUUCCCCUAGUAACGGCGAGUGAAGCGGGAAGAGCUCAAAUUUGAAAUCUUAAAGGGUUUCCCUUUACGAAUUGUAGUUUAAAGAAGUGUUUUCUGUUGAGGUUUUGGUAAAAGUUCUUUGGAAUAGGACAUCAUAGAGGGUGAGAAUCCCGUAUUUGACCUUUACUUUCAACUUUGUGAUACACUUUCAAAGAGUCGGAUUGUUUGGGGAAUGCAGGUCCAAAAUGGGUGGUAAAUUUCAUCUAAAGCUAAAUAUUGGCGAGAGACCGAUAGCGAACAAGUACCGUGAGGGAAAGAUGAAAAGAACUUUGAAAAGAGAGUUAAACAGUACGUGAAAUUGUCAAAAGGGAAGCGUUUGACACCAGUGUUGUUUUUCUGAAAAUCAAUUAAAGAACUGUUUAUGCUAAGCUGUUUAGACUUUAUCAGCUAUACUGUUUAGUUUUAGGCUUUUCUUUAAUGCACUUUUCAGUUAACAAGUCAACAUCAAUUUCUUUUGCUGUAAAAAAGCUUGAGGAAGGUGGCUUGAGAUUCGUCUUAAGUGUUUAUAGCCUCUUGCCUAUGCAGUCGGAGAGAUUGAGGUCUGCAGCGUAGAUCCUUCGGGGCUAAAUGCAUUUGUGCUAAGUUAUAGCAUUUUAUAGACAACUUGUUGACUAUGAUUUGUCUUGUAGCUUACUCGCUUAUGUUAUUUUACCUACGCUUAGGAUGUUGAUCUACAGAGCGAGAGU